Molecule: transfer RNA, 85 nt
Filed under: Streptomyces humidus
Lineage: Bacteria; Bacillati; Actinomycetota; Actinomycetes; Kitasatosporales; Streptomycetaceae
Description: tRNA-Val
Source: RNAcentral
GGCCGCCUGGGCCCGGGCGAGCUCGGCCGCCUGACGCGCGGCCUUCUCCUGCCGCUGCUUCUCGAUCGCCGCGAGACGCGCCUUC